AUUGAACGCUGGCGGCAUGCCUUACACAUGCAAGUCGAACGGUAACAGGUCUUCGGAUGCUGACGAGUGGCGAACGGGUGAGUAAUACAUCGGAACGUGCCCGAUCGUGGGGGAUAACGGAGCGAAAGCUUUGCUAAUACCGCAUACGAUCUACGGAUGAAAGCAGGGGACCGCAAGGCCUUGCGCGGACGGAGCGGCCGAUGGCAGAUUAGGUAGUUGGUGGGAUGAAAGCUUACCAAGCCGACGAUCUGUAGCUGGUCUGAGAGGACGACCAGCCACACUGGGACUGAGACACGGCCCAGACUCCUACGGGAGGCAGCAGUGGGGAAUUUUGGACAAUGGGCGAAAGCCUGAUCCAGCCAUGCCGCGUGCAGGAUGAAGGCCUUCGGGUUGUAAACUGCUUUUGUACGGAACGAAAAGACUCUUUCUAAUAAAGAGGGUCCAUGACGGUACCGUAAGAAUAAGCACCGGCUAACUACGUG
RNAcentral lists this ribosomal RNA (482 nucleotides) under uncultured bacterium. RNAcentral's name for it is "partial 16S ribosomal RNA". It matches the Rfam family "Bacterial small subunit ribosomal RNA", at positions 30 to 507 of the family's 1533-position model. The record is from RNAcentral.